This 936-nucleotide ribosomal RNA is filed under the name uncultured Russula. Its description in RNAcentral is "eukaryotic LSU rRNA". The stretch from base 1 to 626 matches the Rfam family "Eukaryotic large subunit ribosomal RNA", at positions 65 to 664 of the family's 3401-position model. The record is from RNAcentral. Lineage: Eukaryota; Fungi; Basidiomycota; Agaricomycetes; Russulales; Russulaceae.
CUAACAGGAUUCCCCUAGUAACUGCGAGUGAAGCGGGAAAAGCUCAAAUUUAAAAUCUGGUGGCUUUAUAGUCAUCCGAGUUGUAAUUUAGAGAAGCGUCUUCCGCGCUGGACCAUGCACAAGUCUCCUGGAAUGGAGCGUCAUAGAGGGUGAGAAUCCCGUCUUUGGCAUGGAUGCACCAGGGCUUCUGUGAUGCGCUCUCGAAGAGUCGAGUUGUUUGGGAAUGCAGCUCAAAAUGGGUGGUGAACUCCAUCUAAAGCUAAAUAUUGGCGAGAGACCGAUAGCGAACAAGUACCGUGAGGGAAAGAUGAAAAGCACUUUGGAAAGAGAGUGAAACAGUACGUGAAAUUGUUGAAAGGGAAACGCUUGAAGUCAGUCGCGUCGAUCAAGACUCAGCCUUGCCUCGGCUUGGUGUAAUUCUUGGCUGACGGGUCAGCAUCAAUUUUGGCCUUUGGAUAAUGAUAAGGGAAAGGUGGCACCUUUGCGGGUGUGUUAUAGUCUCUUGUCGGAUACGAGGGUCGGGAUUGAGGAACUCAGCAUGCGCCUUUUGGUGUCGGGGCUUCGGCCUACGUUACGUGCUUAGGAUGCUGGCAUAAUGGCUUUAAACGACCCGUCUUGAAACACGGAAGGGCGAAUUCGUUUAAACCUGCAGGACUAGUCCCUUUAGUGAGGGUUAAUUCUGAGCUUGGCGUAAUCAUGGUCAUAGCUGUUUCCUGUGUGAAAUUGUUAUCCGCUCACAAUUCCACACAACAUACGAGCCGGAAGCAUAAAGUGUAAAGCCUGGGGUGCCUAAUGAGUGAGCUAACUCACAUUAAUUGCGUUGCGCUCACUGCCCGCUUUCCAGUCGGGAAACCUGUCGUGCCAGCUGCAUUAAUGAAUCGGCCAACGCGCGGGGAGAGGCGGUUUGCGUAUUGGGCGCUCUUCCGCUUCCUCGCU